GACAUUUGGUAGAGAAUGUUGAAGUCACCUGGUCCCAGCAGACCCCAGAGAAUGGCCACAUUCGCUGGUGCUGGGGCAAGGUUGUUAAGGGUGAAGGCUGGUGCCAGAUGUGU
Molecule: ribosomal RNA, 113 nt
Organism: Panthera pardus (leopard)
Lineage: Eukaryota; Metazoa; Chordata; Mammalia; Carnivora; Felidae
Source: Ensembl